Bos taurus (domestic cattle) is the source of this 72-nucleotide non-coding RNA. Lineage: Eukaryota; Metazoa; Chordata; Mammalia; Artiodactyla; Bovidae. The record is from Rfam.
UCCCUGGUGGCUCAGAGGUUAAAGCAUCUGUUUGUAAUUCGGGAGACCUGGGUUCGAUCCCUGGGUUGGGAA